UCAUACGGGAGGCAGCAGUGGGGAAUAUUGCACAAUGGGGGAAACCCUGAUGCAGCCAUGCCGCGUGUGUGAAGAAGGCCUUCGGGUUGUAAAGCACUUUCAGUUGUGAGGAAAAGUUAGUAGUUAAUACCUGCUAGCCGUGACGUUAACAACAGAAAAAGCACCGGCUAACUCCGUGCCAGCAGCCGCGGUAAUACGGAGGGGGCGAGCGUUAAUCGGAAUUACUGGGCGUAAAGCGCACGCAGGCGGUUUGUUAACCUAAAUGUGAAAGCCCCGGGCUCACCCUGGGAUGGUCAUUUAGAACUGGCAAACUAAAGUCUUGGAGAGGGGAGGGGAAUUCCCGGUGUAGCGGUGAAAUGCUAAAUAUCUGGAGGAACACACUGGGGAAAGGGACUCCCCGGGCCAAAACUGACGCUCAUGUGGCAAAGGGGGGGUAGGCGAAAGGAUAAAAAACCCUGGUCCCCACCCCCUAAACCCCGUCUAUACCUGGGUGGGGCUUAAAAACGGCGCCGCGAACCAAACCCCCUA
RNAcentral lists this ribosomal RNA (528 nucleotides) under bacterium A5T_VP6_F8. RNAcentral's name for it is "partial 16S ribosomal RNA". It matches the Rfam family "Bacterial small subunit ribosomal RNA", at positions 337 to 862 of the family's 1533-position model. The record is from RNAcentral.